Molecule: long non-coding RNA, 2129 nt
Organism: Poecilia latipinna (sailfin molly)
Lineage: Eukaryota; Metazoa; Chordata; Actinopteri; Cyprinodontiformes; Poeciliidae
Exons: 2
Source: RefSeq, a predicted model, not a curated record
UCCUCUGAACAGUUCCUCUGACCAGUUCCUCUGAACAGUUCCUCUGACCAGUUCCUCUGAACAGUUCCUCUGAACAGUUCCUCUGACCAGUUCCUCUGCGCUCCUGCAGCUCUACAGUCUGGCGUCUCGCUCCAGCAGCCUGAGCGGCCAUAAGGUUCAGUUCGUGGCGUUCCCGGCGGCUCUCGCCUUCAGACACAAGUUCAUCUACAGGAGCCCGGAGCUGCCAAACAUCCUCAGUGACUUCCUGGGAGCAGCUCACCCCGCUGUGGCGUGACGACGGCUCUUCUUCAUGGUUUGAACAUUCCUGUUAGCAUUCCCAACAUCCCAGCUGACGGUACGGCUACCACGGUUACCACUGCUACCACUGUUACCAUGGUUACCACAGUGACCGUGUCCCCUGGGCUGCAGAGCAGAGGUUUUGUUUCUCACCUGCAUGGUUCACUCCUCCUCACCAUCGGCAGGAAACUGUUUCCUGUUCUGACUUGAAAUAUGAAUUAAAUCUGGUUUUAUGUAGCUGAGCCUCCUUCACUGACCUCUGGGUGGUUCUGGUUCUGGUCGAACCGGACCUCAUCACUCCUACUCCUCCAGAUGUUCAGCAGAUUCUCUCCUCUCAACAGUUCUGGUUCUGCAGGUUUGAAGAAGCCGGUCCGGUUCUGGUACCGAUUGCGCACCAACAGGAAACAGGAAGUGAUGUCACUCUUCCUGAAUGUCUCUAGCUGAUUAAGAAGCUAACCUGAACCCGACUGGUGCUGGUCUUCAGCUGUUUCUGACCAGCGGUGUGCAUGCUUAUGCUAAUCCACAAAUAGUGGAGCUAAUUGUUAGCUUAGCAUUUAUCCAUUAUGCUAACUUUGAAAAUAUUAGCACACUUAGUUUCCCUGAAAUUAAUUAUCAUCAAUUUACUGUUUUGGUAUCAGCUGCUAAAAAUUCUUCCUGUAGUUAAACGGAUAUUCGUCCUCUUAUUUUGAAGGGGUUGACACAAUUCUGUUUCCUUAUCUCACAUCUCUUUUUUUUUUUUGGCUCUAGCGGCCUUUAUUUGAUAGUUAAUUGACACGAAAGUGGGUAAUGAGAGAAAGGGGAAGACAUGAAUCAAAGGUCACCAAAGCCAGGAAUCGAACCUGCGACAGCUGCAUCGAGGACUAAGGCCUCCAUAUGUGGAUUGUGCUUAACCCCUGCGCCACCACCGUACACUCACAUCUCUUGUUUUUAAGGAACUUUAUUGAGCAAACAGGAAGUAAACGAACAAAUCAAGAAUACAAUCAGGAUGUUUAACAAAUACGCUAGCUACUCGCAUUUUAGCUUCUGCUAAACGCCAUAUUGACGUAGCGAUUUAGCAUCAGCCGAACUAAUGUUCAUGACUGCUGCUUCAGGAUUAGCGCAGCUAGCUUUUUAGCUAGCAGUCUGGUACUACUACUGGUUUGGUGCGUUGGCCUUUAGACAACCUGACUGUUCUUCAUGCUGAAGCUCAGAACUUUUUCUGAUUUGGUCCCAAACGGACUCUGAAGGUUCUAAGCUGUCUGCUGCUACAGCAGAACCAGUACCAGUUUAAAACUGAACCUGGGCUGACCUCAGAGCUGGACUCUCCAGUGAACCUAUAAAACCUGACCAGAACCAGUCAGAUUUCAUGACAGGUCCACAGGUUCAUGAGUCCAGAACCUGUGGAGGCUCUGGACCUCAGUUUGACCCCAGAUUCUGGAGUCAAACUAAGCAGAACCACACAGAACCUUUGUUCUAGUCUAAAAAGUCAUUGUAUUCUAUUGGACCAAUCAGAACAUGUUGGCGGUUCUGGAGAGUUCUUCCUCUCACUGUCACCAACAGCGGUUCUGGCCGGUUCGGAUUUAAAUUGUGCACUGAUGCAUUCUGGGAAAACCAGACUACAAAAUGUGACAAUGCCCUGGUUUGUGUUCAGUUUAUUUUAUUAUUUCAACAAAAUUAUAAGCAGGAACAGAGAGGAGCAAAGUUCAGCUGAGCGGUUCUGAUCCGUCUGGAGGGAACUCCACCGUCUCUGGAUCUAGGUUCUCUGUGAAAAUGGGUCAACGUAUCAGAACUGAAAGACAAUCUCUGAUUGGCCAGUUUCCAGUCAUUUUCAGGCUUGAAACUUUAGAAAUGUAAUAAAUGUUUGUUUCAUAAUC